Long non-coding RNA from Ailuropoda melanoleuca (giant panda), 207 nucleotides. RefSeq lists it as uncharacterized. The transcript has 3 exons. The record is from RefSeq and is a predicted model, not a curated record. NCBI's taxonomy places the organism in Eukaryota, Metazoa, Chordata, Mammalia, Carnivora, Ursidae.
AAAGAAGGAAGUGCUGAUUCUGAGGAAAAAGACAUGGGCCCCGCUGGUUGUAUCUUCCUGCUCCCCCUUCUGCUGGGGAUCUCAGGUACCAAUGAGGAGGAACCAGAGAAUCUCCUAAAGUCAAUCUGUGGGCGGCCCGCAGUCUCAUCUGGCAUUGCCUCAGGCAGGGAGGCCAACGUGGGCCAGUGGCCCUGGCAGGUCAGCAUC